GCAAGUCGAACGUGAGGUCGAAAUGAUUACUUCGGUUUGAUUUUCGGUUGGAAAGUGGCGAACGGGUGAGUAACACGUAGGUAACCUGCCUCAAAGUGGGGGACAACCAUUGGAAACGAUGGCUAAUACUGCAUAAGUCCGAGCCGACGAGAGUCGGUUUGGGUAAAGCUCUGGCGCUUUGAGAGGGGCCUGCGUCCGAUUAGCUAGUUGGUGGGGUAAUGGCCUACCAAGGCGACGAUCGGUAGCUGGUCUGAGAGGACGAUC
This 264-nucleotide ribosomal RNA is filed under the name uncultured bacterium. Its description in RNAcentral is "partial 16S ribosomal RNA". It matches the Rfam family "Bacterial small subunit ribosomal RNA", at positions 57 to 305 of the family's 1533-position model. The record is from RNAcentral.